Molecule: non-coding RNA, 1871 nt
Organism: Myodes glareolus (Bank vole)
Lineage: Eukaryota; Metazoa; Chordata; Mammalia; Rodentia; Cricetidae
Source: RefSeq, a predicted model, not a curated record
GGUACGUGCGCCUUAGGUUUAGCUCCGCCGCCAAGGGAGGGGCGAGCUAACCUCCCCUUCUCUGCCUGAUGGAGUCUGUUUUCUGUGCCAUCUUUCGUUUGAGUCUCUCACCAGUUGGAAGAGUCGGGUCACAGCAAUGAGCGAUAGCCUUUGCAUCAUGGAUAUGCACGUAUUUUUCCACAAGCGAAUCUGUGAAAAUUCUGUGAGAAGUUGCGGUUCAGUGACAUGGCGGUGACUCCACCCACCUCCAACAACUUAGUAUGGAAAACUUGAAGUAGGAUUGGUGAGAUGGCUCAGCAGAGACUGAAGACUGGGAUGACGAGCCCGAGGCAAACCUAACCUAUCAGAACUCACAUUCUCCCUUUGUAUGGACUGUCCACUACUGAAAGGCCUACAUAAUUUCCACUCAAACUCCCAAUCCUAUGUUCUGAGCAGCUGGUAGCGGGCUCUGGGAGAUGCGCGGGUCCCUGCAAGAUCCCCUGAGUGGUUGCUGGUUCCAGUGAGGUGCAGUUUCCCAGCAUCAAGCAGCUGAGCUGACUGGUCCCGCCAUGCAGGAUAUUCAUCCAUUCUCGUGGACUUGAUUUGGGAUAGCGUGCACCUGAAUCGGGUGUAGGUAUUCACAGAAAAGUGCAGACAACAGAUGGAGGCACCACUGGGAUACUGAAGGACAACUGUGUUCUGCUGUCUGUGGACCCACCAUGAGAACCCCGGGAGAGGAGCGGUUUGUGUGUUUCCACAGGAUGCAGAUCAUUCUGUCUGGGUCCCCGAGCAACUGGUGCGGACCGUGGAUUCCUCUAUUCAGAGACCUGAGGACGAGACAAGAUCUAGAGAUCCCGUGGACGCGGCGGCGGCGGAGAUGGCAGAUUCCUGAGAGAUUAUCCAGCGCCUGCUUUUGCCCUUUUCCCAGCUUCUUGUCCUUGCUCUGUCUUGACUGUUUUAGCCAAGGCUGCUUGACCCCCUGAGGGGAGACAGCUGCUUCCCCUACCCUGAUUGCAGCGUUGGGUACCCGCGGCGGGAACCUUGCCAGAAAGACAAAAUUACCAUAGCUAUUCAAAUUAAUCUAAAUUCACAAUUGGACGCUGUAGCUAAUCUUUACAAACUGGGUGUGGAUUUUGACCUCUGCUGGUUGCAGGAAAAGAUUUUGCUGCUUUUUCUUGGACCCUGGUUACAAAAUUUGCUAAUUGGCUCUCAUUUAGUUGACUAGUCAAUCCAGGGGCUCCAUUCACUGGUGCUGUAGCCCUACUCAAGGGGCUCUAUUCUGAGCAAACGUUUCAGAUAUUGUGCAAGCACAGUCUCUUCCAGGAAUGCUUUUGUGUAUGCUGGAGCAUCUUCACUUGGCCAGUGGCUUUCAGGUCCGCCAUGGCCUGGCCCUAGUAGGAGUAUCUUUCAGCAUAAAACCGGCUGAACGUGUUUGAGUAUGACUUUAGCCAAAGAUGGGUCUAGACCGCUUGGGCAGGCAUUUCCAACCUAAGACAUGGGAUACAUCUGGACCUGAGGCGUCAUCCUGACAACGGGUCAGGAUUUGGCCUGGAUCCCGGUGGCACCUAAGGCAGAUUACUGUCAUCAUAUUUUAUAUAUUUACGGGGAGACUUGUUGGUACCCAGGUUUCUUCCCCUUUGUUCGUGGCGCUAUGCAGGGCCAUUUUACCUCUGGCUUCCUGGCUUCCCUGCUCUUGCACCGGCCUGAGGGUUUAGCUUAGAAAGAACUUGGCCCUCUUUUGUUAUGGUAAUUCCACCUGCAAGCAAGGAUCCCGCCGGUGGCUAUAUGUCUGCCACUGCAGCUGCUGUCUGGCCUUGGGUGCCAGACACCUGACAUCCUCUUCCCCUGUUCCGGAUGGAAGGGGCUAUUUUCCCUUUGCCCCCUAGUAUAUG